CGCCGUAGACACAACACCAUCCCACUCCUCUGGGAUGGAGAUACCCUCCUUUAGUCCCCGGGUGACAUUAGAGCCCACGUCGACGGGUUCUACCGGGCCUUAUUCUCCUCCGCUCCUAGGAGCGGACUAUCUCUAGCCCUCAAUUGCUGGACUGGCAACCAGCUUGUUUCCGCCGCGGAGAACGAGGCCCUCACGACCCCGUUCUCUUAGGGUGAGGUUUGGGCUGCCAUUAGUGGCAUGAACCCUACCUCGGCCCCUGGUCCGGAUGGCCUUCCGGUCAAGUUCUUCCAGUCCUUCUGGAAUGUGAUUAAGCCCGAGAUCAUGGCCAUCUUUGAUGAGUUCUAUGUUAGCUCCAUCGACCUUGGGUGCCUCAACUAUGGGAUCGUCUCGCUCAUCCCCAAAGUGUCUGGGGCUUCCGACAUCCGCCAGUUCCGACCGAUCACGGUUAUCAACGUGAUCUUCUGGAUCCUGGCUAAAGGGUACGCCAAUAGGGUGUGUUGGGGAACGUAG
This 510-nucleotide ribosomal RNA is filed under the name Triticum aestivum (bread wheat). RNAcentral's name for it is "partial small subunit ribosomal RNA". The record is from RNAcentral. Lineage: Eukaryota; Viridiplantae; Streptophyta; Magnoliopsida; Poales; Poaceae.